UGCAGUCGAACGAUGAAGCCCAGCUUGCUGGGUGGAUUAGUGGCGAACGGGUGAGUAACACGUGAGUAACCUGCCCUUGACUCUGGGAUAAGCGUUGGAAACGACGUCUAAUACCGGAUACGAGCUUCCACCGCAUGGUGAGUUGCUGGAAAGAAUUUUGGUCAAGGAUGGACUCGCGGCCUAUCAGCUUGUUGGUGAGGUAAUGGCUCACCAAGGCGACGACGGGUAGCCGGCCUGAGAGGGUGACCGGCCACACUGGGACUGAGACACGGCCCAGACUCCUACGGGAGGCAGCAGUGGGGAAUAUUGCACAAUGGGCGAAAGCCUGAUGCAGCAACGCCGCGUGAGGGACGACGGCCUUCGGGUUGUAAACCUCUUUUAGCAGGGAAGAAGCGAAAGUGACGGUACCUGCAGAAAAAGCACCGGCUAACUACGUGCCAGCAGCCGCGGUAAUACGUAGGGUGCAAGCGUUGUCCGGAAUUAUUGGGCGUAAAGAGCUCGUAGGCGGUUUGUCGCGUCUGCUGUGAAAUCCCGAGGCUCAACCUCGGGUCUGCAGUGGGUACGGGCAGACUAGAGUGCGGUAGGGGAGAUUGGAAUUCCUGGUGUAGCGGUGGAAUGCGCAGAUAUCAGGAGGAACACCGAUGGCGAAGGCAGAUCUCUGGGCCGCUACUGACGCUGAGGAGCGAAAGGGUGGGGAGCAAACAGGCUUAGAUACCCUGGUAGUCCACCCCGUAAACGUUGGGCGCUAGAUGUGGGGACCAUUCCACGGUUUCCGUGUCGUAGCUAACGCAUUAAGCGCCCCGCCUGGGGAGUACGGCCGCAAGGCUAAAACUCAAAGGAAUUGACGGGGGCCCGCACAAGCGGCGGAGCAUGCGGAUUAAUUCGAUGCAACGCGAAGAACCUUACCAAGGCUUGACAUAUACGAGAACGGGCCAGAAAUGGUCAACUCUUUGGACACUCGUAAACAGGUGGUGCAUGGUUGUCGUCAGCUCGUGUCGUGAGAUGUUGGGUUAAGUCCCGCAACGAGCGCAACCCUCGUUCUAUGUUGCCAGCACGUAAUGGUGGGAACUCAUGGGAUACUGCCGGGGUCAACUCGGAGGAAGGUGGGGACGACGUCAAAUCAUCAUGCCCCUUAUGUCUUGGGCUUCACGCAUGCUACAAUGGCCAGUACAAAGGGCUGCAAUACCGUAAGGUGGAGCGAAUCCCAAAAAGCUGGUCCCAGUUCGGAUUGAGGUCUGCAACUCGACCUCAUGAAGUCGGAGUCGCUAGUAAUCGCAGAUCAGCAACGCUGCGGUGAAUACGUUCCCGGGCCUUGUACACACCGCCCGUCAAGUCAUGAAAGUCGGUAACACCCGAAGCCAGUGGCCUAACCGCAAGGAUGGAGCUGUCUAAGG
Molecule: ribosomal RNA, 1394 nt
Filed under: Plantibacter flavus
Lineage: Bacteria; Bacillati; Actinomycetota; Actinomycetes; Micrococcales; Microbacteriaceae
Description: bacterial SSU rRNA
Rfam family: Bacterial small subunit ribosomal RNA
Source: RNAcentral